RNAcentral lists this long non-coding RNA (239 nucleotides) under Hordeum vulgare. RNAcentral describes it as "long non-coding RNA (HVUL_LNC007642)". Lineage: Eukaryota; Viridiplantae; Streptophyta; Magnoliopsida; Poales; Poaceae. The record is from RNAcentral.
CUUUAUUUAUCUCAGGGCAUAUGUUGCAAGUGUACACCAACUUAGCCACUUCAUGGCCAUGUAAUAUGUAGUAUAUAUGCAUCUAAAAUAAAUUAUGCAACCAAUUUAUUGUGUACAUGCAACCAAUUUAUUGUGUAGUGCAUGGUCGCACUUCCCCCGCGCGCGCGAAGACUCAGACGCUAUCCUUCACCUGCUCGCUGUAGCUGUUCUGCACGUCGUUGUAGCGGUCCCACACCAUG